CCUACGGGUGGCAGCAGUGGGGAAUAUUGCGCAAUGGGCGAAAGCCUGACGCAGCGACGCCGCGUGUGUGAUGAAGGUCUUCGGAUCGUAAACUUCUGUCAGCAGGGAAGAAGGGUCUCUGUGUUAUUCAGUUGCUCAUUGACGUUACCCGCAAAGGAAGCACCGGCUAACUCCGUGCCAGCAGCCGCGGUAAUACGGAGGGUGCGAGCGUUAAUCGGAAUUACUGGGCGUAAAGCGCACGCAGGCGGUAUGUCAAGUCAAGGGUGAAAUCCCCGCGCUCAACGUGGGAACUGCCUUUGAAACUGGCAAGCUGGAGUGUGUGAGAGGGUGGUAGAAUUCCAGGUGUAGGGGUGAAAUGCGUAGAUAUCUGGAGGAACAUCGGUGGCGAAGGCGACUAUCUGGCACAAGACUGACGCUGAGGUGCGAAAGCGUGGGUAGCAAACAGGAUUAGAUACCCGUGUAGUC
Molecule: ribosomal RNA, 465 nt
Filed under: uncultured bacterium
Lineage: Bacteria
Description: partial 16S ribosomal RNA
Rfam family: Bacterial small subunit ribosomal RNA
Source: RNAcentral